RNAcentral lists this ribosomal RNA (490 nucleotides) under uncultured bacterium. RNAcentral's name for it is "partial 16S ribosomal RNA". It matches the Rfam family "Bacterial small subunit ribosomal RNA", at positions 28 to 507 of the family's 1533-position model. The record is from RNAcentral.
GAUGAACGCUAGCUACAGGCUUAACACAUGCAAGUCGCGGGGCAGCAUGGGGGUUGCUUGCAAUCCCCGAUGGCGACCGGCGCACGGGUGAGUAACGCGUAUCCAACCUGCCCUUCACCACGGGAUAACCCGGCGAAAGUCGGACUAAUACCGUAUGUUGUCCAUUGACGGCAUCCGAUUUGGACGAAAGGCUUGGCGGUGAGGGAUGGAGAUGCGUCCGAUUAGCCAGACGGCGGGGUAACGGCCCACCGUGGCUACGAUCGGUAGGGGUUCUGAGAGGAAGGUCCCCCACACUGGAACUGAGACACGGUCCAGACUCCUACGGGAGGCAGCAGUGAGGAAUAUUGGUCAAUGGGCGUAAGCCUGAACCAGCCAAGUAGCGUGCAGGAUGACGGCCCUAUGGGUUGUAAACUGCUUUUAUGCGGGGAUAAAGUGGCCCACGGGUGGGCUUUUGCAGGUACCGCAUGAAUAAGGACCGGCUAAUUCCGUG